Cucurbita pepo subsp. pepo (vegetable marrow) is the source of this 303-nucleotide non-coding RNA. NCBI's taxonomy places the organism in Eukaryota, Viridiplantae, Streptophyta, Magnoliopsida, Cucurbitales, Cucurbitaceae. The record is from RefSeq and is a predicted model, not a curated record.
UGAAUCAGGGCCGGCGAUCCUCCACCUUCUUCCCUCCCCGAAAACCUCUCUGAAAUCAACAGCAUCAGAGCUCUAACUUCACAGGCAGAGAACAAAGAAGACGAUUCGAUUAUGCACGGUUGGAUAUCGAAUCUCUUCCCGCAUUUGGAGCCGUGACGGAAUCAAUAAGGGCGAACUUGGUGCAUUCGAGCGGGACGAUUCGAUUAUGCACGGUUGGCUAUCGAAUUUCUUCCCGCAUUUGGAGCUGCAGUAGAAUCGAUACGGGCGAACUUGGUGCAUUCGAGCGGGACGAUUCGAUCAUGC